This 33-nucleotide transfer RNA is filed under the name Elaeidobius subvittatus. RNAcentral describes it as "partial tRNA-Leu". The record is from RNAcentral. Lineage: Eukaryota; Metazoa; Arthropoda; Insecta; Coleoptera; Curculionidae. RNAcentral also lists the same sequence under 7 other names.
ACCCCAAAUAUAAAGUUUAAACUUUUUUUAGAA